GACGAACGCUGGCGGCGUGCUUAACACAUGCAAGUCGAACGAAAAGAGGGAAAGAGCUUGCUCUUUCCGGAAUUGAGUGGCAAACGGGUGAGUAACACGUAAAAAACCUGCCUUCAGGAUGGGGACAACAGACGGAAACGACUGCUAAUACCGAAUAAGUUCCAAGAGCCGCAUGGCCCAUGGAAGAAAAGGUGGCCUCUACCUGUAAGCUAUCGCCUGAAGAGGGGUUUGCGUCUGAUUAGCUGGUUGGAGGGGUAACGGCCCACCAAGGCGACGAUCAGUAGCCGGUCUGAGAGGAUGAACGGCCACACUGGAACUGAGACACGGUCCAGACUCCUACGGGAGGCAGCAGUGGGGAAUCUUCCGCAAUGGGCGAAAGCCUGACGGAGCAACGCCGCGUGAGUGAUGACGGCCUUCGGGUUGUAAAACUCUGUGAUCCGGGACGAAAAGGCAGAGUGCGAAGAACAAACUGCAUUGACGGUACCGGAAAAGCAAGCCACGGCUAACUACGUG
This 513-nucleotide ribosomal RNA is filed under the name uncultured bacterium. RNAcentral describes it as "partial 16S ribosomal RNA". It matches the Rfam family "Bacterial small subunit ribosomal RNA", at positions 28 to 507 of the family's 1533-position model. The record is from RNAcentral.